CACUGUCAUAUUUUCAUGGGUCAGGAUCUCAAGCUGAACCCGGAGCUUCGUGCUUUGGCUAGACUGACCAGAGAGCCUUGAAGACCCUGCUGCUGUCAUAUCUCCCCAGCACCGGAAUUCCAGGAAGCUCUCCACAGCCUGUGUGAUUCCCCUUAUCCACACCUGGUCUUUCAGAAACUCAGCUUUGGAGUCGACAACCCAAGAUUUGAACCAGGGACUUAUCACACUCUUAUGUGGCCUGUUCCACAAAGAGAGAUGGAAAGAGAUGGAAGACUUCUAGCAAUGCCCCUUCUGGGCAGUUUGAUUCAGAAACCAGCACCUUUAGUUUUUAAGAGACGCUUCACAUGCGUCCUACUCCGACCUUUUAUUCAAACGCUGUUCAGUGGGAAGAGGUUCCUACACCGGUGAAUGGCAGGCCCCAAGACUGUUUCCUCCUGAAGCUCUGCAUUCUUGCCUUACAGGUGAAUGGUAGAUAAAUGAGAAGGAGGAGCACAAAGUGGGAGUGGAGAGUCUGAGAAAGAGACGGCGCCCUACUGAUGCUGUUCCUGCUUUCCCACAGCUGAUUCCAAAGCCACGAUGGAGGUGGAGCUUCUUAUUUAGUAUAUAUCAUGUGGUGGGCUAGUCUUGCCCAAGGAGGCUAUUUUUCAUGUCUUCAGUUUUAGGAAGACUAACCUACUAACCUAUUCCCUGUUAGGGGUUAGAUCAGACCCCAAUCCCGCUAAAUUGUUAUGUUAAAUUCUCAGUACUCAGAAUGAGAUCUUUUUAGAAACAAGGUCAUGGGUGUCAUUAGUUGAGAUGAGGUGGUAUGGAAGUAGAGUCGGCCUCUUCAUCCAAUGUGACUGGUGUCCUCCUAAGAAGGGACAAUUUGGACAUGGGACAAGUAUGUCUACAGGGAAAUGUUAAAAAAAACAAAACUGAGCCGGUGUGUGGCCCAUACCUGUAAUCCCACGGAAGGCAAGGAGACAGAGGUAGGAGGAUAAUCACAGGUUUGAGGCUAUCCUGGGCUACAUAGGAAGUUCUAGGCCAGGCAGGGAUCCAUACUACUGUCUUAAAAACAGACAAACAAAACCAGGGAAUGAGGCUGGCUUCUAACAGAGCAUCAGACUUUUUUAAGGGUGAGCAGGUUUAGGAACCAGCUUCGGAGUCUUCUGGGAUGGGUGAGAGACUGGGCUCAACUGG
Molecule: long non-coding RNA, 1179 nt
Organism: Peromyscus californicus insignis
Lineage: Eukaryota; Metazoa; Chordata; Mammalia; Rodentia; Cricetidae
Exons: 3
Source: RefSeq, a predicted model, not a curated record